UCCUGUCUGAGAACGCAGGAGAUAACGGUGGACAAGGUGGAUAUUUCACUUCAAGGGUCCAGGAUAUAUAUUUAGAACUGGCUUCCAGAGCCAACCGUCGUGAACUCCUGACGAACAAAUGGAAAACGUGGCUCUCCUCCCCAGUCCGGACAGCAUCGUCAUCACGGCGUGCAGCCAGUAGCCUUGUUUUUUGCAGGCUGGGCACUUCCAUCAGGCCAGCUCCACGGGCAUGAGACUCCAUUGGCACUCUUGGAUUCCUGACUCUGACUGUGGAAUGGGGCGGUGAAGUCAGCUGGUGCCGUAAGACUUUCCAUCAGCCUUCCUGCUGGCACCUUGAUCACAGACUAUUGCCUGUAGAACUGUGAGACCAUAAAUUUUGGCUACCCAGUUUAUGGUACUUUGUCACAGCAGACCUAGGAAGCUAAUAUACCACCUGAAAUUUGACCCGCUCUAUAAAGUUGAUCCAUAAGAAUUAUGCCUGGGUCCAAAAUCAGUUUGAUCAAAUUCAGUUUUUUAAAAAAUUAACCAUUGAUCAGAACAUACCAGUGAGGGUUCCUGGGCAUGUACUUCUGUCUGUUAACCCGGCUUUGUCACCGGAACCUGGUGCAUUAACCCUUCCCCUUUGAAGGGAAGCACAUGCUCCUUCCCACUUUGACUAGUCCCUCUGAUGCAAGGACCACUGAGCAAUCAGUGUUCCCUCCUCCUGGAAUUGGGCAAGAGGCCACAGUGUGUAUCGUUCGCUGAGCCUGAGGCCUUGACAACAGCAGACAGCAGCGUGAGGAGCUCAGGUGGCUAAGCCAUGGGCCUUCUUAGGAUGGACAGGAUAUGGUGGCACCGGAAGGCCGAGAGUGUCCAGCAAGGAGAAGUCAAGCUCAGAACCCUCAGUGGCACACGUGCGAGACUGGGCAGGAGAAGAGGAACCAGCAGAGGAGGCUGAGAGGCAGUUGGCCGAAAGGUGGCAGGAAAACCAGGGAGAAAAUGUCUUAGAAGCCAAGGGAGAAGGGCACUCAUAGCGAGGGCAGCCCGUGCCCCUGGAAGGUCACAAGAUGAGGACCAAGACGAGGCACCGAAUUUGCAGACUGGGAGCCACCGGCUUUUCGACACGCUAUCUCUGUGCCACGGAAGCUGGGUUAGCGUGGAACGGGAGAUGGGCCAGAGGUGGUGGA
Leopardus geoffroyi (Geoffroy's cat) is the source of this 1166-nucleotide long non-coding RNA. RefSeq lists it as uncharacterized. The record is from RefSeq and is a predicted model, not a curated record. NCBI's taxonomy places the organism in Eukaryota, Metazoa, Chordata, Mammalia, Carnivora, Felidae. The transcript has 3 exons.